Molecule: long non-coding RNA, 2830 nt
Organism: Daphnia magna
Lineage: Eukaryota; Metazoa; Arthropoda; Branchiopoda; Diplostraca; Daphniidae
Exons: 4
Source: RefSeq, a predicted model, not a curated record
GCGGGAAAUUGUUUUGUACCGCUGCGAUUUGGGUUUCACAGUUAAUACUACUGUGUGGGGAGAAACCAUUUUGUUUUUUAGCAAUCGAGAGGGAAGGGGUUAGAAAACAACCCUUUGCAAACAUAGCAGCGGCACAAAAAUGUUCCCACCACGUGCAGAGCUCCAAUAUUUAUGGACGUGCACAACGUACUGAGAUUUUUCCAUUUCUUUUAACGUCACUUUUAUUUCCAAAUGAAAUGUAAUUGAAUUCAAAUUUGGUUUUUCUGUCUCUUCCUCCCUUCUUUCUCGCCCUUCCCACUGGCAUUUUUCGUUUUGCUAUCCAGUGCAAGUGUAAUUUUAUAUCAACGACCACGCCGACGUUGUGCGUCCAUGUGUUCGUGUGCGCGCGCGCGAACGAUUGCCUCCAUGUGUGUGUGUGUGUGUGUAAUGGGGCCGAGGGUUUAAAGCAACGUCAGUGUCGUUGCCAAGCCCGCAGUCUCUCGUUGGCUUUUCGACAGUCUACACCUCUUGUCUGUUGUUUGACUGCCAUUCUCGUGGUCUCCCCCCCCCCCCACACUUCGAUUCCUAUCAUUCCUCACACAUCCUUUGUUGCGUUUCUCGUUGCCACUCAUUCGUCUUAUCCUGCCCUGAUAUAACACGCCUUCGUUUUCAUAGACUUUGGUGAUGGAAUUAUACAAUUAAAGUGUUGUGUGUAAACGUAGACACUAUCGAGUCAUCAAUCCUGAUCAGCCAGUGAAAACGCCUCACAGUUUCCAGCUCGGCUCAACGUGGUCAGCCCAAGUUUUGGGAGGCAAUGCACAGGAAUGACUGGAGCCCCUCGUCAUCGGAAACGGGAUUCUUGCAGCGCGGCCAUCUUGUGGGCGUCGUGAUAACGAAAUGGCGUCGCUCCUCCUCCCUACAGCCAUUGGAGAUACGUCGUGAAAAACACGUUACUACACCGUGGUCAGACGAAGUGAGAACACACGCUGCGGCAAGGAUACCCACACACACAAAAAAAAAAAACUUUUCGGGACUUUGGUCUGUUAUGAUGGGAACGUGAUUCCCGCCACCUCAUUGCCGCUGCUGGCCAUGCAUGAAGCAACUCUUAAACGCGUGAGAGCUUUAUUCCGUCUGCAAGCCGACGAAGGUUGCCGAAACCCCAUCUCUCUUCAAGCCGCUGGCAAAUCACUUAAACUGACUGCGGUCGAUUGGGAACUCGAGUACCAAGCCAACGACUGGUUUUCUUUCCCCUCCUUUUUGAAGUGAAACGAAGAUGGGGAAAGAGAGGAGAAAAAAAAAAAAAAAAUAAUAAUCAAAUGAAAAUCAAAAAUAAUUGUGACGUGAUAAAAACCCUGAACAUUUUGACGGGUUUAAAUUCCCCAUCUUCUUGUAUAUAUUUAUGUAUAUUUUGUGUGUGUGUGUGUGUGUGUGUGAUAGAUCUCUUUCUCUUCGUUAAUCUCCCUCCUCGAAUCAUUUUUCAUUUUUUAUUUGGACAAACAUUCUCUCCUCUCUUGAAGACGGACUUUUUUUUUUUUUUGCAUCUUUUUAGCCAUGCGGGCGCCCCCUCGACUGCUGCUAUAAAGAUCGUGAGAGCUCCCGCCCGUCUUGCGCGUGAGUCUCGUACGCGCCGUUAUCUUAUUUCUUCUUCUUUUCGUUUCCUUCAGUCGUUUUUCUUUUUCGGUUGAAGUACGAGGAUGAAGAAGAAGAAGAAAAUGCUUGAAAAGUUUAAGGGACAAUGGGGGAAACUAUUUUCAAAUGGAUAUCGACUAGACGAUCGAACGAGGUCGUUUUCAUUUUAUUCCUCCUCCCUGCUGCCGUGCCCUCUAGUAACGAUUUUUGUUUUGUUCCUCGGACGGCAUUAACCCCGACGCGGAUCGGCCCGGAUGGGUGUGAAGCACGCGCUCGGUCACGACCAAGCGCGUGCGCUCCGUCUGCCAAAGGGCGUCUCCGUCUCGUUCGUUCCAACAAAGACGUCCUCCUUUUUUCUUGAUCGAAAGAACAAAAUAAAAAAAAAAAUAAAUAAAUAAUCCUACGACGUCAGCCGGCCCGAAUCCCGGCCAAAACAAUCACCGAUCUCUGCACUUGGUUUUCAUUUCUCGUUGUGUAACCCCCUUCCUCAACGAAACACGGACUCGUCUUACUUACCACGCAGACCAUCUCUAACAACGUCGACAGAAAAAAAAACGAGGGAAAACUGAUAGAAGAGACGCUGACGCUUGCAAACGCAAUCCCUCUUUUGCUUUCCUUUUUGUGUGUGUGUGUGUGUUUUGUUUGUUAUCUUAUUUUCUUUUUCCCCCCAGAAAGUCUUUUCUCUUGUCUGUCUUUUUCUUCUUUUUCAGACGUUUUGUAUAUAGCCCCGAGACUCGGGAAUGAUGGAUCGUUUUCUUCUUCUUCUUCUUCUUCUUCUUCUUGGUUAUACAUCAAGAAGAAAGAAGGAAACGAAACGAAAGAGGGGGUGUAGUGUGCUGUGUUACUAGACUUCUUAUAUGGCAGACUCUCCUUUGCAGCGUACUGGAAAUAAUUCGUUCAACUGUCAGUAAAUUUGUCUCGCGCCCUUGCUCUUUCCUCCCCUAUCAUACAUCAAGCUGAUUUUCUCUUUUUUUUUUUCUUUCUUACCAACCAGACGACUACUGCUGUUCGUGAGCGCAACGUUCACUGUGUACGACGUCGUCUUCUCCGAACUCUUUGUUUGAACGCGCUGUUUCAGCCGAGCACGUAUGUAGUAGCCUACCAUGAAAAAAAAAAAGGAGUCGUUGCUACUCAAAUGCAGUCGUGUGUCACGGUCAACUCGAGGCACACGGCAAAACGUUUCUGUUUCGUGCAAAAAAAAAAACAACAUUAUUUUGCUUGU